RNAcentral lists this ribosomal RNA (746 nucleotides) under uncultured bacterium. RNAcentral's name for it is "bacterial SSU rRNA". It matches the Rfam family "Bacterial small subunit ribosomal RNA", at positions 62 to 819 of the family's 1533-position model. The record is from RNAcentral.
UCGAACGAUUAAACUUUCCUUCGGGGAAGAUUAAAGUGGCGCACGGGUGAGUAACACGUAGGUAAUCUACCUUUGAGUGGGGAAUAACGUUCGGAAACGAACGCUAAUACCGCAUAAUGCAGCGGCAUCUUCGGAUGACAGUUGUUAAAGCGAGUAAUCGUGCUUAAAGAGGAGCCUGCGGCAGAUUAGCUAGUUGGUAAGGUAAUGGCUUACCAAGGCAUCGAUCUGUAUCCGACCUGAGAGGGUGGUCGGACACACUGACACUGAAUAACGGGUCAGACUCCUACGGGAGGCAGCAGUCGGGAAUUUUGGGCAAUGGGCGAAAGCCUGACCCAGCAACGCCGCGUGAAGGAUGAAGUCUUUCGGGAUGUAAACUUCGUAAGAAUAGGAAGAAUAAAUGACGGUACUAUUUGUAAGGUCCGGCUAACUACGUGCCAGCAGCCGCGGUAAUACGUAGGGACCAAGCGUUGUUCGGAUUUACUGGGCGUAAAGGGCGCGUAGGCGGCGUGGUAAGUCAGCUGUGAAAUCUCCGAGCUUAACUCGGAACGGUCAGCUGAUACUGCUGUGCUAGAGUGCAGAAGGGGCAAUCGGAAUUCUUGGUGUAGCGGUGAAAUGCGUAGAUAUCAAGAGGAACACCUGAGGUGAAGACGGGUUGCUGGGCUGACACUGACGCUGAGGCGCGAAAGCUAGGGUAGCAAACGGGAUUAGAUACCCCGGUAGUCCUAGCCCUAAACGAUGAAUACUUG